GGUGAAAGAUUUAUCGCUGUAAGAUGAGCCUUCGCAGGAUUAGUUAGUUGGUAGGGUAAUGGCCUACCAAGACGAUGAUCCUUAGCUGGUCUGAGAGGACGAACAGCCACACUGGAACUGAGAUACGGUCCAGACUUCUACGGAAGGCAGCAGUGAGGAAUUUUGGACAAUGGGCGAAAGCCUGAUCCAGCGACGCCACGUGAGUGAUGAAGGCCUUAGGGUUGUAAAGCCCUUUCAGUAGGGAAGAUAAUGACGGUACCUACAGAAGAAGCCCCGGCUAACUUCGUGCCAGCAGCCGCGGUAAUACGAAGGGGGCUAGCGUUACUCGGAAUUACUGGGCGUAAAGCGUGCGCAGGCGGCUUUGUAAGUCGGAAGUGAAAGCCCAAGGCUUAACCUUGGAAUUGCUUACGAUACUACAAAGCUAGAGUCCUAGAGAGGAUGGUGGAAUUCAUAGUGUUGAGGUGAAAUUCGUAGAUAUUAUGAGGAAUACCGGAGGCGAAAGCGGCCAUCUGGCUAGGUACUGACGCUGUUGCACGAAGGCGUGGGGAGCAAACAGGAUUAGAUACCCUGGUAGUCUACGCAGUAAACGAUGAGUGCUAGAUAUCGGAAUUUUCGGUGUCGAAGCUAACGCGUUAAGCACUCCGCCUGAGGAUUACGGCCGCAAGGCUAAAACUUAAAGGAAUUGACGGGGACCCGCACAAGCGGUGGAACAUGUGGUUUAAUUCGAUGAUACGCGAAGAACCUUACCAGGUUUUGACAUAAUAGUCGUACGACUAAGAGAUUAGUUGGUCAGCUCGGCUGGACUAUUACAGGUGUUGCAUGGCUGUCGUCAGCUCGUGUCGUGAGAUGUCAGGUUAAGUCCUGUAACGAGCGCAACCCUCACCAUUAGUUGCCAUCAGGUAAUGCUGGGAACUCUAAUGGAACUGUCUGUGAUAAGCAGAAGGAAGGCGGGGACGAGGUCAAGUCAGCAUGGCCCUUAAGGCCUGGGCUACACACGUGUUACAAUGGUGACUACAAUGGGACGCAAUACGGCGACGUGGAGCAAAUCUAUAAAAGUCAUCUCAGUUCGGAUUGUACCCUGCAACUCGGGUACAUGAAGUCGGAAUCGCUAGUAAUCGCAGAUCAGCACGCUGCGGUGAAUACGUUCCCGGGUCUUGUACACACUGCCCGUCAAGCCAUGGGAGUUGGUUCUGCCUUAAGCAAGUGAGCAAACCUUCGGGAUGCAGCUUGCCACGGUGGGAUCGAUGACUGGGGUUAAGUCGUAACAAGGUA
Molecule: ribosomal RNA, 1272 nt
Filed under: metagenome
Description: bacterial SSU rRNA
Rfam family: Bacterial small subunit ribosomal RNA
Source: RNAcentral